GAAGUAAAAGACGUGUCUGAGGGUCAAGGUGUGCAAGUGCGUCUUCCAAACAAAGGCAAAUGUUAUGGUUUUGGUUAUCCAACACCUGCCUGAUAAGCGCACAAGUGUGGGAAUAUAUCGGCUACAGAAAGAAGACAGACGGCCGUGACUUGGAGGAGGAAGGUUAGCCGACCUGCAAGACCUGCUCACGAAGAGUGGCUGCAAGAGGAAACAAUACUUCAAAUCUGAUUUCGCAUCUCCGGGGGCGCCAGCUAUCAGUCUGCCAAAUUCAAGGUCAUAUGCUACCUUUCCCUGUGUAACUGGCUCAAGGUCCCUCAUGGCCCCCCACCCCCACACUCAUGGGGCCCGCAGCCUACAUGUGUGGCAGCCAUCAAGCUUACACCAACAGAUAACAUCAUUGCAAUCCUGACAGAGGCACAGACAGUGAGCGAUGGUUUCCCCCAUGUAACAUCUGGCCCACAGAGAAUGGGAGAGCUUUAACACACACAGAAAAGGGAGUUUCCCAGUGUUUUCUCCUAGCGUCUACAUGUUUGUAUGGUACCUGCACAGUCAAAACAAAACAGAAAUACCUCUUAAUGAUAUUUAGGCUUUUUAAUGACCUCCAUACAUGGAAACAUGGUGGAAAACAGCACGUCACAGAAAUUGGGAUACCAUCAGAGCCACCAUAGUAACAUGAUAAACAUCAUGCCUGCCAUUAGUGGGAACAAGGCAAAUAAAGUGAGUCACUGAUUCUCAUUUUUCAUCCCUCUAUCCAUCCUGCAUCAGCAACAUAUACACUAAAACAAACAAGUGGGCCAAAAAGGACUGGGUGGGUUUGUGCUUCAGUUUUCAACCUUGGCUUUGCUCUUGUGAAAAUUUGGUGGGGGAAAAUGUGAGCUGAGGACGGUCACGCCCAGUCAGUGUCAGGUGAGUCAUUUUAUGUGGCAGUUCAGGUUGCAGUCAGUCCAAACCGCCCGCGUCUUCUUGUGGCCAGCACAGGUCAAAUGCUGGUUGGAAAGAGAAGGGAAAAAUCGCGGUAGACUUAAUUCAUCCUCGUCUGUGACAGGUGUGUUUUCAUGCUUUUUGGGUUUUUUUUUUUUCGUUUACCUAAAUCCCUCUUUUCUGGACAUGAGGUGAGUCCCUGGUGGCACUGCCAGAUGACUGCAUCUGUCACUGUGAGACUUUCAAGGAGUCUUCAUCUUGUGAUUUAGACAAACUGCUGAAAUGUUUUGACAGAAAAUGAGGUAGAUCGAAAUCAUUUCCCAUUACCGCUCUCAUAGCCGUGCAGUUAGAAGCCGUUCACAGUCCGUUAUGACAGCUCACCUCCAUCGCAGUUUUCAUAGAGGUGGGUGGGCAGGUGUGACAGUUUACCAGGUUUUUCUAGCAGGGUGGUGGGCUAAAUCUGUUUUUACCUUAAAUUUAAGCCUCUGAUUUACAAAAUGUGAUCAUUUGCUAAUGUUAAGAAAGUUGUGACGUUGACCCCUGAGGUCAUGUUGAGACAGAAUUCAGAGCUUUUCAUUUAUGGUGGCCAAUCAAACUGUGCAAAUACACAUUCUUGGUAGAUUAACUUGUUACACAAACAAUGUAUGUCCACUUUUGUUUGUUUUUGUUAGUCUAACUUUCCAGUGUUGUAAAGUCUUGUAUCAUGGUAUUAUGAAUUGCUGUGCAAAGUUUUGGUGUCUGAUAAACCUUAAAACUAGUGGACCUGUUGCUAAAACUACUCUUCUUGAUCCAGUAGUCCCACUGGUACCAGAAAAAACACACCCCCAACACCAUAGCUCCUUAGCUCCUUUAGUCCUGACUAGACA
Long non-coding RNA from Lates calcarifer (barramundi perch), 1787 nucleotides. RefSeq lists it as uncharacterized. The transcript is spliced from 3 exons. The record is from RefSeq and is a predicted model, not a curated record. Lineage: Eukaryota; Metazoa; Chordata; Actinopteri; Centropomidae.